GACGAACGCUGGCGGCGUGCUUAACACAUGCAAGUCGAACGGAAAGGCCCUGCUUUUGUGGGGUGCUCGAGUGGCGAACGGGUGAGUAACACGUGAGUAACCUGCCCUUGACUUUGGGAUAACUUCAGGAAACUGGGGCUAAUACCGGAUAGGAGCUCCUGCUGCAUGGUGGGGGUUGGAAAGUUUCGGCGGUUGGGGAUGGACUCGCGGCUUAUCAGCUUGUUGGUGGGGUAGUGGCUUACCAAGGCUUUGACGGGUAGCCGGCCUGAGAGGGUGACCGGCCACAUUGGGACUAAGAUACGGCCCAGACUCCUACGGUGGGCAGCAGUGGGGAAUAUUGCACAAUGGGCGGAAGCCUGAUGAAGCAACGCCGCGUGCGGGAUGACGGCCUUCGGGUUGUAAACCGCUUUCGCCUGUGACGAAGCGUGAGUGACGGUAAUGGGUAAAGAAGCACCGGCUAACUACGUG
RNAcentral lists this ribosomal RNA (468 nucleotides) under uncultured bacterium. RNAcentral describes it as "partial 16S ribosomal RNA". It matches the Rfam family "Bacterial small subunit ribosomal RNA", at positions 28 to 507 of the family's 1533-position model. The record is from RNAcentral.